This 300-nucleotide unclassified non-coding RNA is filed under the name fungal sp. RNAcentral describes it as "partial internal transcribed spacer region". The stretch from base 1 to 46 matches the Rfam family "Eukaryotic small subunit ribosomal RNA", at positions 1786 to 1831 of the family's 1831-position model. Lineage: Eukaryota; Fungi. The record is from RNAcentral.
AAGUCGUAACAAGGUUUCCGUAGGUGAACCUGCGGAAGGAUCAUUAACAAAUGUUUCCACACCACCCAUCUUGUGAACUGUUACCCAUCUUUGGCGUGCCCUUUGAGCCUUAAAAAAGCUCAUUGGGGGUCGUAUGGCCGAUUUAACGACGACGGCAUCUUUGGAUGCCCGAGAUCUACGGUCUACCGCGUCGUUUUUGUAUUCAUUUACAAAGUCUACCUAUUACUGUACAAUCUUGCUGACAUCAAUAUAUUAAAUUAUAUACAAUGACAACUUUUAGCAAUGGAUCUCUAGGCUCUU